CAUGAUCAAGAUGUGUAUUUGUGAGCCUCACAGCCUCAAGUUGAGCACUCUACCAGAGUUACCUACUAUGUUCUCUACAUUGAAUUAAGAAACUUAACUGGACCAUAUACAAAUAAACUGUCAUUGGUUUGGCUUCCAUGAAGGUCAAGCAUCAGCUCCCCUCUUUUUACUACUACGUUGAUGAGAUCAGCUGCGUGACCGAGAUCUACUCCUGCUUCGCCUCUUGUGAGAAUCUCGGCUCUGAGAUCGCCGUGACCUCUGUGGUGACCUGCAAGAGUAAAUGAUAGUUUUCACAAUGCCCAAUACUCUAGUGAUUCAUUAUGAAUCACUAAAGAAUAUCCUUUUGUGGAAUGCUGAGCAUGACUUUUUUUUGUUUUCACAAUGUCAAAUACUCUAGUGAUUCAUUAUGAAUUACUAAAGAAUAUCCUUUUAUGUGGAAUGCUGAACAUGACUUUUUUUUUUUUUUUUUUUUUUUUUUGAUAAUGAGGUGGAUGGCUUACAUUUUUUUCUGAAAUGCAACGUUAUUGUAUACUGCCAGAAUUUUUAAUUCUUCAUGUUCUUUUCAGACCAUGCAAAGUGCAUAGAUACAAUUUUUUAUAUUUUUAAAAUUAUCUAUUGUCACCAUUCAUUUAAGGUAAUCAUCAUGCCUUAUAAAAUAGCUUAGUUUUUUUUUUUUUUUUGUUGUUGUUGUUGGCUACAUAUGUCAAAGUCAAAACUUGAAUAUCAAGUUAACACAUAUCCAUGAAUACUUCUUUAAUUAUACCAGUAGUUACCAGUAAAGAUCAAAGUACAUUUCCCACAAACAGAUUUGCUGAGGCAAGGAACACACUGGAUGGAGAAGUUAAUGUUUUAUGUUAACUCAUGCAGGAAUUUCUCCCAAUCUUAGAGGUUAAUUAUGGUGUAUAACAUACACAUGUAUUAAACAUAUAAUAUUGUUUACUGUGAUGAGCCACUGUUACGUUACGUAUAGAGUAAACAACCGGUAUGAUUAAAGAGCUAUGUUAAUGUUUUUACUUGUAUUGACUCCUUCCAUUGUAAAGCCAUACUGUAGUUAUUAACAAAUUCUAUGUAAAGGGAUAAAGCAUUCAAUCUAGCUUUAUCUGGACCUACCACAACUUCCCACUGCCAGACAAAAAUUUGUCAACAAAUUCUGGCAGCCUGUUCCCUUUGUUACAAUUCCUCACUAAAGAGCAGCAGAAAAUAUAUAGUUUUGUUUAUAAAAAAUAUUUAUUUCUAAUCUUUACUAGUAAUCACAGGGAAUAUUUAAAAAUAAGUAUAUCUAUUAAAACAUGUACAGAUGUGCAAUGGUCAGCAGCUGGAACAGAUAUAUUGUCUUUAUAAUGAAAAUUUGUCUGUGUGAAUACUUGCAAUUAAGGACUGCAAACAAUCACACUACAAAUACAGUGUGUGUGUGUGUGUGUAAUAUAUAUAUAUAUAUAUAUAUAUAUAUAUAUAUAUAUAUAUAUAUAUAUAUAUAUAUAUAUAUAUAUAUAUAUAUAUAUAUAUAUAUAUAUGGGGAAAAAUUGCUGCAUGUCCUUACCUCCGUGGAGAUUUCCCUGGAGACCUUUUAGGAGAUCUCUUGAUUGAUGACCUUGGUGAUCGCCGCGGAGAUCUUCUGGGUGAUCUCCUUGGCGAUCUACUCCUCCUGCGUGAUCUUGACCGAGACCUUGACUUGCGUGCAUUCUUCUCCCUCUCCCUCUCUCUCUCUUUUUCCUUCUCUCGCUCACGCUCCCUUUCUCGCUCCUUUCUACGUUCUGCUCUGACUCUCUCCCAUUCCACCUGUUCUUUUUCUCUUGCUGCUUUCAUUUCUGCUUGUCUGCGUUCUAUUUCUGCCAUCUUUUGACGACGCAGAGCCUCCUUCUCCAUAAUCUGUAGAUGUUACAUAAUUUAUCUACUAGGCUAAAGACCCAACAAGAGCUGACAGUUUAAGGGUGUGCACACAUGCAUACAUAUCUGACACACACCAUGCUCACGCUAACUAACAAGUACACACACAUUCUCAAUUAACUUUAAAACAUUUCCCAAGAAUAUAAAUAUAAAAUACAGUCAGUAUUUUUCCCUUAGCUUUCAUUUCAAGCCAUGUAGCACAACUAAACUGUUCUUUCCCAUUCCUUUCUAAAGCUUCACUUCAUUUACAAAAUGUGAUCCUCUAUACUUGAAAUACAAUAUCUUCCAUCAA
Scylla paramamosain (green mud crab) is the source of this 2179-nucleotide long non-coding RNA. RefSeq lists it as uncharacterized. Lineage: Eukaryota; Metazoa; Arthropoda; Malacostraca; Decapoda; Portunidae. The transcript is spliced from 2 exons. The record is from RefSeq and is a predicted model, not a curated record.